CAUUUCAAAAAACGUAAUAGGCUUGUUUAUUUAGUUUUCAAAAGGACUAACUAUAGAUUAAUGUUAUAUUCAAAAGAGUAAUCACUUUAGCAUUACCAUUAGUCUCACUUUUCAAAUAAAUACCCUCACUCUCACCAUUUCUCUGUUUCGUCUCGUGAUACCUUUUUGAUUUUUCAUCUCUCUCAUGAUUCAACCUUAUGAUUCUUCUAGUUUCUCUCAUCUUGCAAUCAGUGGAGAUUCUAGCCACGAUUUUGUUCUCGGACGAUCAACGAGAGGCUUCUCGACAAAUUUGUUUUCCGACGAAGCUUAUAGAGAAUUUAUUCUCAAACGAUCAACGAGGCUUCUUCUAGUUUCUCUCAUCUUGCAAUCAAUGGCAAUUCUAGCCACAAUUUUGUUCUCAGACGAUCGACGAGACUUCUCAGCGAAUUUGAUUUCUGAUGUAUAGAUGGGACUUCUCAAUGAAUCUGGUUUGUUUUAGGUAGCUAAAUCCCUAAAAAUCUAUAGUUCAACUUUACAACAAAGCUUGAAUUUGUAGUCAUUGCUACAUCGCUCACAAAAUUCAACUUCACUACCACUAAUGCCGACAUCACUAUCCAAAAUCCAUGGCAAUAGUGAUAUGUGUUGUAUUGUUCAGAUUUGGACUGUUUGGGAAUAAGAAUGAUUAAGAGUGCAUGUUUGUAUGUAGGCUAAAUUCAUAUAUAUAGAGUAUAUUUGUGUCAAUUUGUCUGUAAGUUUUGUUAGUCUUACUACUUAAGUUGGUCUUGUUUGCUUGUUUGAAUGUAUUACUAAGCUUUUCUCAAAUAAUGCAUAAUAACUGUUUGAUGGAAUGCUUCAGUGAGAUAAAUGAGUGAAUUGAAUUAUUUUUAUAGCUUUUUUUUAAUCUGCUUAUGUGAUGGGGUAUCGAUUCCUUCUGCCCACUCCCGUCGUGUCCCUCUACUUCUAUGCAUUACUACUCCUUUAUUUUUCAAAGCCUUUUUAUAAUCCCUACAAAAGUUUGCAUUCUCCAAGUCUUGCUAAACUCUAGAGUGCUGCUAAUAUAUUUUGCACUUCCUUUUGUACCUAUUCUUAUUGUGCUAAUCUCUAUCCCAAGAUUUGUAUAUAUGACGAAUUGAAGACACAAGAAUUAGAAAAAAAGUAUGAUCAAUUCAUAUUGGACUCUUCAUUAAAAACAGAGCAGAGAGACACAAAAAGUAUGAUCAAUUCAUAUUGGACUCUGCAGCACUGUCAAACGACGUCGUCACAGUCCAGGAGUACUGGAUUCCAACUCCAGAACAAAUACUCAUUGGCUUCACUCACUUUUCUUGCCAUGUUUGCUUCAAAACAUUUAACCGCUACAACAAUCUUCAGUGCUGUUGGGAGCAAUUUUGAGGUCAGGCCAGAGCAGAUUUUCUGGAAAAGUCAAUGAGUUUCAAGUUCCAAUAACCAGAAUCCCAUCAAAAGAGAAAGGGCAUCCUCAUGUUCUUGUUUAUUGGAUUUAUGGAACUAAUGGAGACAGUUUUAAAGGCAAUAUAUCAUCCAAGAAAUCGGUACCUGCUGGAGCUUGAUUCUGGUUCUUCAGACAAUGAAAGAGAGAGUUUAGCACUUUCUGUUCAAUCAGAAAAAGCGUUUCAAGCCUUUGCCAAUGUUGAUGUUAUUGGAAAGAGUUAUACACUCAACGAGAUUGGAUUCUCAGCUCUGGCGGCCACACUUCACGCUGCAGCGUUGUUUCUGAAGAUUAAUGCAGAUUGGGACUGGUUUAUCACAUUAAGUGCUGCUGAUUAUCCACUCAUGACUCAGGAUGGAGGAUGGGAAAAUUGUGAAGACAGGAGACAUCAACAUAGCAAAAAUUCUUGAGAAAGAAGGAUACAAAGGAAUUUCUAUUGCAUAACUGCGAAGAAUGGGUUGACACUCAUGGCUAAUGAAAGGAAUAGAAAGCUUUCAAGGAUCGAAAAACAAAGAGAGAAUGAGUCUCUUGCACCUUUGAAGCACAAGCGAAAGCAUAGACUUCAAAUCAUUGAGAAUUAUUGGAUGCGUGCAAUUAAUAAAGAGAUAGUAUUGGAAAAAUGUUACAAUUUUCCUUUUAUUAGACUCAUUAGACAUUAUUUCUAAGCAUAAACUUUUAUUAUGGUAUUUUGCACUUGAACAUUUGGGACAAUUGUACUGAAUAUUUUGGUUGAUAAAAAAAGUACAUUAGACUUU
Humulus lupulus (European hop) is the source of this 2178-nucleotide RNA transcript. It is a transcript of the gene named protein TRANSPARENT TESTA 1-like, with no coding region annotated. The record is from RefSeq and is a predicted model, not a curated record. Lineage: Eukaryota; Viridiplantae; Streptophyta; Magnoliopsida; Rosales; Cannabaceae. The transcript has 5 exons.